GCUUAACCGAAGAAGUGCAUCGGAAACUGGGUGACUUGAGUGCAGAAGAGGACAGUGGAACUCCAUGUGUAGCGGUGGAAUGCGUAGAUAUAUGGAAGAACACCAGUGGCGAAGGCGGCUGUCUGGUCUGCAACUGACGCUGAGGCUCGAAAGCAUGGGUAGCGAACAGGAUUAGAUACCCUGGUAGUCCAUGCCGUAAACGAUGAGUACUAGGUGUUGAGGGUUUCCGCCCUUCAGUGCCGGAGCUAACGCAUUAAGCACUCCGCCUGGGGAGUACGACCGCAAGGUUGAAACUCAAAGGAAUUGACGGGGGCCCGCACAAGCGGUGGAGCAUGUGGUUUAAUUCGAAGCUACGCGAAGAACCUUACCAGGUCUUGACAUCUUGCGCUAACCUAAGAGAUUAGGCGUUCCCUUCGGGGACGCAAUGACAGGUGGUGCAUGGUCGUCGUCAGCUCGUGUCGUGAGAUGUUGGGUUAAGUCCCGCAACGGGCGCAACCCUUGUUACUAGUUGCCAGCAUUCAGUUGGGCACUCUAGUGAGACUGCCGGUGACAAACCGGAGGAAGGUGGGGACGACGUCAGAUCAUCAUGCCCCUUAUGACCUGGGCUACACACGUGCUACAAUGGUCGGUACAACG
RNAcentral lists this ribosomal RNA (636 nucleotides) under uncultured bacterium. Its description in RNAcentral is "bacterial SSU rRNA". It matches the Rfam family "Bacterial small subunit ribosomal RNA", at positions 607 to 1244 of the family's 1533-position model. The record is from RNAcentral.